GGUAUCCUGUCUGAAUAUGGGGGGACCAUCCUCCAAGGCUAAAUACUCCUGACUGACCGAUAGUGAACCAGUACCGUGAGGGAAAGGCGAAAAGAACCCCGGCGAGGGGAGUGAAAAAGAACCUGAAACCGUGUACGUACAAGCAGUGGGAGCCUCUUAAUGGGGUGACUGCGUACCUUUUGUAUAAUGGGUCAGCGACUUAUAUUCUGUAGCAAGGUUAACCGAAUAGGGGAGCCGAAGGGAAACCGAGUCUUAACUGGGCGUUAAGUUGCAGGGUAUAGACCCGAAACCCGGUGAUCUAGCCAUGGGCAGGUUGAAGGUUGGGUAACACUAACUGGAGGACCGAACCGACUAAUGUUGAAAAAUUAGCGGAUGACUUGUGGCUGGGGGUGAAAGGCCAAUCAAACCGGGAGAUAGCUGGUUCUCCCCGAAAGCUAUUUAGGUAGCGCCUCGUGAAUUCAUCUCCGGGGGUAGAGCACUGUUUCGGCAAGGGGGUCAUCCCGACUUACCAACCCGAUGCAAACUGCGAAUACCGGAGAAUGUUAUCACGGGAGACACACGGCGGGUGCUAACGUCCGUCGUGAAGAGGGAAACAACCCAGACCGCCAGCUAAGGUCCCAAAGUCAUGGUUAAGUGGGAAACGAUGUGGGAAGGCCCAGACAGCCAGGAUGUUGGCUUAGAAGCAGCCAUCAUUUAAAGAAAGCGUAAUAGCUCACUGGUCGAGUCGGCCUGCGCGGAAGAUGUAACGGGGCUAAACCAUGCACCGAAGCUGCGGCAGCGACACUAUGUGUUGUUGGGUAGGGGAGCG
This 808-nucleotide ribosomal RNA is filed under the name Escherichia coli. RNAcentral describes it as "partial 23S ribosomal RNA". It matches the Rfam family "Bacterial large subunit ribosomal RNA", at positions 428 to 1238 of the family's 2925-position model. Lineage: Bacteria; Pseudomonadati; Pseudomonadota; Gammaproteobacteria; Enterobacterales; Enterobacteriaceae. The record is from RNAcentral.